UUAAAGGCUUGAUUAACCCAUAAAUCCUUGUCAGUUGAAGAUGCUGUUCGUUCUAAAACCGACCUUGAGGUGUGCAGAGCCAUCGGACCUGACGGUGGGUGGCACAGUGGAUUUGUAAGGGGUGAACAUUGCUAUUAUGAAAAAGACUGGGAAACUCAUCAAGCCAAAAGCCAUGAGAUUCUGGUUGAUCCGUGCGGAGGACGUGGUUGGAAAUGGGUGGAGGGGGCACAAGGAAACAUGUACACAUAUGACGAAUCGAGGAGGUUUCCAGGAGUCAAAUACUACGUGUGUAGUUUGAGGAGAAAUGGCUAUGUAGGGAAGCUUUUCAACACACGGCAUGGCUUUCUGUGCCAUUUUCCACUUGGCUCAUAUAACCGGGAUGGAAGUUUCUAUGCACUGGUUACACAACCAUGUAUGUGAAGACACUUCACCAUGAUUCACGGUUCAGUUUCUCUAGUUCCUUUUUCAAGCUUUGAUUGGGUGGUGCUGCUGUAUUCAUCUUUCAAAAGACAGACUGAACCUAAAUGCACAGACG
Molecule: long non-coding RNA, 535 nt
Organism: Sinocyclocheilus anshuiensis
Lineage: Eukaryota; Metazoa; Chordata; Actinopteri; Cypriniformes; Cyprinidae
Exons: 3
Source: RefSeq, a predicted model, not a curated record